This 524-nucleotide ribosomal RNA is filed under the name uncultured bacterium. RNAcentral describes it as "bacterial SSU rRNA". It matches the Rfam family "Bacterial small subunit ribosomal RNA", at positions 984 to 1509 of the family's 1533-position model. The record is from RNAcentral.
ACAUCCAGAGAACUUGGCAGAGAUGCCUUGUGCCUUCGGGACCUCUGAGACAGGUGCUGCAUGGCUGUCGUCAGCUCGUGUUGUGAAAUGUUGGGUUAAGUCCCGNAACGAGCGCAACCCCUAUCCUUUGUUGCCAGCGAUUCGGUCGGGAACUCAAAGGAGACUGCCGGUGAUAAACCGGAGGAAGGUGGGGAUGACGUCAAGUCAUCAUGGCCCUUACGAGUAGGGCUACACACGUGCUACAAUGGCGCAUACAAAGAGAAGCGACCUCGCGAGAGCAAGCGGACCUCAUAAAGUGCGUCGUAGUCCGGAUCGGAGUCUGCAACUCGACUCCGUGAAGUCGGAAUCGCUAGUAAUCGUAGAUCAGAAUGCUACGGUGAAUACGUUCCCGGGCCUUGUACACACCGCCCGUCACACCAUGGGAGUGGGUUGCAAAAGAAGUAGAUAGCUUAACCUUCGGGAGGGCGUUUACCACUUUGUGAUUCAUGACUGGGGUGAAGUCGUAACAAGGUAGGCGUAGCGAG